GGGUUGUGAGGUUAAGCGACUAAGCGUACACGGUGGAUGCCCUGGCAGUCAGAGGCGAUGAAGGACGUGCUAAUCUGCGAUAAGCGUCGGUAAGGUGAUAUGAACCGUUAUAACCGGCGAUUUCCGAAUGGGGAAACCCAGUGUGAUUCGUCACACUAUCAUUAACUGAAUCCAUAGGUUAAUGAGGCGAACCGGGGGAACUGAAACAUCUAAGUACCCCGAGGAAAAGAAAUCAACCGAGAUUCCCCCAGUAGCGGCGAGCGAACGGGGAGCAGCCCAGAGCCUGAAUCAGUGUGUGUGUUAGUGGAAGCGUCUGGAAAGGCGCGCGAUACAGGGUGACAGCCCCGUACACAAAAAUGCACAUACUGUGAGCUCGAUGAGUAGGGCGGGACACGUGGUAUCCUGUCUGAAUAUGGGGGGACCAUCCUCCAAGGCUAAAUACUCCUGACUGACCGAUAGUGAACCAGUACCGUGAGGGAAAGGCGAAAAGAACCCCGGCGAGGGGAGUGAAAAAGAACCUGAAACCGUGUACGUACAAGCAGUGGGAGCACAGAGCAAUCUGUGUGACUGCGUACCUUUUGUAUAAUGGGUCAGCGACUUAUAUUCUGUAGCAAGGUUAACCGAAUAGGGGAGCCGAAGGGAAACCGAGUCUUAACUGGGCGUUAAGUUGCAGGGUAUAGACCCGAAACCCGGUGAUCUAGCCAUGGGCAGGUUGAAGGUUGGGUAACACUAACUGGAGGACCGAACCGACUAAUGUUGAAAAAUUAGCGGAUGACUUGUGGCUGGGGGUGAAAGGCCAAUCAAACCGGGAGAUAGCUGGUUCUCCCCGAAAGCUAUUUAGGUAGCGCCUCGUGAAUUCAUCUCCGGGGGUAGAGCACUGUUUCGGCAAGGGGGUCAUCCCGACUUACCAACCCGAUGCAAACUGCGAAUACCGGAGAAUGUUAUCACGGGAGACACACGGCGGGUGCUAACGUCCGUCGUGAAGAGGGAAACAACCCAGACCGCCAGCUAAGGUCCCAAAGUCAUGGUUAAGUGGGAAACGAUGUGGGAAGGCCCAGACAGCCAGGAUGUUGGCUUAGAAGCAGCCAUCAUUUAAAGAAAGCGUAAUAGCUCACUGGUCGAGUCGGCCUGCGCGGAAGAUGUAACGGGGCUAAACCAUGCACCGAAGCUGCGGCAGCGACACUGUGUGUUGUUGGGUAGGGGAGCGUUCUGUAAGCCUGUGAAGGUGUGCUGUGAGGCAUGCUGGAGGUAUCAGAAGUGCGAAUGCUGACAUAAGUAACGAUAAAGCGGGUGAAAAGCCCGCUCGCCGGAAGACCAAGGGUUCCUGUCCAACGUUAAUCGGGGCAGGGUGAGUCGACCCCUAAGGCGAGGCCGAAAGGCGUAGUCGAUGGGAAACAGGUUAAUAUUCCUGUACUUGGUGUUACUGCGAAGGGGGGACGGAGAAGGCUAUGUUGGCCGGGCGACGGUUGUCCCGGUUUAAGCGUGUAGGCUGGUUUUCCAGGCAAAUCCGGAAAAUCAAGGCUGAGGCGUGAUGACGAGGCACUACGGUGCUGAAGCAACAAAUGCCCUGCUUCCAGGAAAAGCCUCUAAGCAUCAGGUAACAUCAAAUCGUACCCCAAACCGACACAGGUGGUCAGGUAGAGAAUACCAAGGCGCUUGAGAGAACUCGGGUGAAGGAACUAGGCAAAAUGGUGCCGUAACUUCGGGAGAAGGCACGCUGAUAUGUAGGUGAAGUCCCUCGCGGAUGGAGCUGAAAUCAGUCGAAGAUACCAGCUGGCUGCAACUGUUUAUUAAAAACACAGCACUGUGCAAACACGAAAGUGGACGUAUACGGUGUGACGCCUGCCCGGUGCCGGAAGGUUAAUUGAUGGGGUCAGCGCAAGCGAAGCUCUUGAUCGAAGCCCCGGUAAACGGCGGCCGUAACUAUAACGGUCCUAAGGUAGCGAAAUUCCUUGUCGGGUAAGUUCCGACCUGCACGAAUGGCGUAAUGAUGGCCAGGCUGUCUCCACCCGAGACUCAGUGAAAUUGAACUCGCUGUGAAGAUGCAGUGUACCCGCGGCAAGACGGAAAGACCCCGUGAACCUUUACUAUAGCUUGACACUGAACAUUGAGCCUUGAUGUGUAGGAUAGGUGGGAGGCUUUGAAGUGUGGACGCCAGUCUGCAUGGAGCCGACCUUGAAAUACCACCCUUUAAUGUUUGAUGUUCUAACGUGGACCCGUGAUCCGGGUUGCGGACAGUGUCUGGUGGGUAGUUUGACUGGGGCGGUCUCCUCCUAAAGAGUAACGGAGGAGCACGAAGGUUGGCUAAUCCUGGUCGGACAUCAGGAGGUUAGUGCAAUGGCAUAAGCCAGCUUGACUGCGAGCGUGACGGCGCGAGCAGGUGCGAAAGCAGGUCAUAGUGAUCCGGUGGUUCUGAAUGGAAGGGCCAUCGCUCAACGGAUAAAAGGUACUCCGGGGAUAACAGGCUGAUACCGCCCAAGAGUUCAUAUCGACGGCGGUGUUUGGCACCUCGAUGUCGGCUCAUCACAUCCUGGGGCUGAAGUAGGUCCCAAGGGUAUGGCUGUUCGCCAUUUAAAGUGGUACGCGAGCUGGGUUUAGAACGUCGUGAGACAGUUCGGUCCCUAUCUGCCGUGGGCGCUGGAGAACUGAGGGGGGCUGCUCCUAGUACGAGAGGACCGGAGUGGACGCAUCACUGGUGUUCGGGUUGUCAUGCCAAUGGCACUGCCCGGUAGCUAAAUGCGGAAGAGAUAAGUGCUGAAAGCAUCUAAGCACGAAACUUGCCCCGAGAUGAGUUCUCCCUGACCCUUUAAGGGUCCUGAAGGAACGUUGAAGACGACGACGUUGAUAGGCCGGGUGUGUAAGCGCAGCGAUGCGUUGAGCUAACCGGUACUAAUGAACCGUGAGGCUUAACCUUACAACGCCGAAGGUGUUU
This 2932-nucleotide ribosomal RNA is filed under the name Escherichia coli. RNAcentral's name for it is "23S ribosomal RNA". It matches the Rfam family "Bacterial large subunit ribosomal RNA". Lineage: Bacteria; Pseudomonadati; Pseudomonadota; Gammaproteobacteria; Enterobacterales; Enterobacteriaceae. RNAcentral also lists the same sequence under 1 other name. The record is from RNAcentral.